AAAAUAUUACGUAAAAAAUGGGAUUCCAGGUACAUGUACAUUAUAGGGUCGGGUGGUAACUUGUUUCGAGUGAAGAGCGCCACCGGAAAUUACAUAUUAUUGCGCACCAGGCAGUUCAUUGACAAGUGAUGCAUAGCCAUGGCUUUCUCAAAGAAUACCGGAUCGUUUUGUUUCAAAGAAAACAUGUCGUUUUCAAACGUGAUUGAGAAUCAUUUCCUGGGUACGAAAUAUGUCAAGAAAAAAAACUCUAGCACGACUGUACAACAGUCCCAACACUAUUCUAAGACAUCAUCACUCUGGGGUCUGAUCACCAAGGAGACAUUCACCCGCACACCCGUGGAAGGUGAACAUGAUAGUGAUAGUGAUUCCGAGGAGGAAGACAUAAAACCUUCGUCUACAGGCGUACUGUACAAACAGUCAAUGCAAUUGUGCUACAGUAGAUCCUUCGUACAAAAUUGAACUGUAUAUCUACACUGGCAUUCUUUACAUGAAAAACUUUCAUAAAAUACAGUGACUAUAUCUUGUAAUGACAAUAUUAACAAAUGUCUACCAAUAUCUACUACAAAGCCAGAAAUCAA
Ruditapes philippinarum (Manila clam) is the source of this 578-nucleotide long non-coding RNA. RefSeq lists it as uncharacterized. The transcript has 2 exons. Lineage: Eukaryota; Metazoa; Mollusca; Bivalvia; Venerida; Veneridae. The record is from RefSeq and is a predicted model, not a curated record.